CUUCGGGGUACUCGAGUGGCGAACGGGUGAGUAACACGUGGGUGAUCUGCCCUGCACUUUGGGAUAAGCCUGGGAAACUGGGUCUAAUACCGAAUAGGACCGCGCGCUUCAUGGUGUGUGGUGGAAAGCUUUUGCGGUGUGGGAUGGGCCCGCGGCCUAUCAGCUUGUUGGUGGGGUAAUGGCCUACCAAGGCGACGACGGGUAGCCGGCCUGAGAGGGUGACCGGCCACACUGGGACUGAGAUACGGCCCAGACUCCUACGGGAGGCAGCAGUGGGGAAUAUUGCACAAUGGGCGCAAGCCUGAUGCAGCGACGCCGCGUGAGGGAUGACGGCCUUCGGGUUGUAAACCUCUUUCACCAGGGACGAAGCGCAAGUGACGGUACCUGGAGAAGAAGCACCGGCCAACUACGUGCCAGCAGCCGCGGUAAUACGUAGGGUGCGAGCGUUGUCCGGAAUUACUGGGCGUAAAGAGCUCGUAGGUGGUUUGUCGCGUUGUUCGUGAAAACUCACAGCUUAACUGUGGGCGUGCGGGCGAUACGGGCAGACUAGAGUACUGCAGGGGAGACUGGAAUUCCUGGUGUAGCGGUGGAAUGCGCAGAUAUCAGGAGGAACACCGGUGGCGAAGGC
This 628-nucleotide ribosomal RNA is filed under the name Mycobacterium sp. RNAcentral's name for it is "bacterial SSU rRNA". It matches the Rfam family "Bacterial small subunit ribosomal RNA", at positions 78 to 722 of the family's 1533-position model. The record is from RNAcentral. Lineage: Bacteria; Bacillati; Actinomycetota; Actinomycetes; Mycobacteriales; Mycobacteriaceae.